RNAcentral lists this ribosomal RNA (516 nucleotides) under uncultured microorganism. RNAcentral's name for it is "bacterial SSU rRNA". It matches the Rfam family "Bacterial small subunit ribosomal RNA", at positions 9 to 514 of the family's 1533-position model. The record is from RNAcentral.
GAGUUUGAUCGUGGCUCAGGAUGAACGCUAGCUACAGGCUUAACACAUGCAAGUCGAGGGGCAUCAGGAAGGAAGCUUGCUUUCUUCGCUGGCGACCGGCGCACGGGUGAGUAACACGUAUCCAACCUGGCCGAUGACUCGGGGAUAGCCUUUCGAAAGAAAGAUUAAUACCCGAUGGCAUAGUUCUUCCGCAUGGUAGGACUAUUAAAGAAUUUCGGUCAUCGAUGGGGAUGCGUUCCAUUAGCUUGUUGGCGGGGUAACGGCCCACCAAGGCAUCGAUGGAUAGGGGUUCUGAGAGGAAGGUCCCCCACAUUGGAACUGAGACACGGUCCAAACUCCUACGGGAGGCAGCAGUGAGGAAUAUUGGUCAAUGGGCGCUAGCCUGAACCAGCCAAGUAGCGUGAAGGAUGACUGCCCUAUGGGUUGUAAACUUCUUUUAUAUGGGAAUAAAGUGCAGUAUGUAUACUGCUUUGCAUGUACCUUAUGAAUAAGGAUCGGCUAACUCCGUGCCAGCCG